AAACUUGAGAGUUUGAUCCUGGCUCAGAACGAACGCUGGCGGCAGGCUUAACACAUGCAAGUCGAGCGCCUCGCAAGAGGAGCGGCAGACGGGUGAGUAACGCGUGGGAAUCUACCCAUCUCUACGGAACAACUCCGGGAAACUGGAGCUAAUACC
This 156-nucleotide ribosomal RNA is filed under the name Klebsiella pneumoniae. Its description in RNAcentral is "partial 16S ribosomal RNA". It matches the Rfam family "Bacterial small subunit ribosomal RNA", at positions 1 to 170 of the family's 1533-position model. The record is from RNAcentral. Lineage: Bacteria; Pseudomonadati; Pseudomonadota; Gammaproteobacteria; Enterobacterales; Enterobacteriaceae.